Felis catus (domestic cat) is the source of this 7678-nucleotide long non-coding RNA. RefSeq lists it as uncharacterized. NCBI's taxonomy places the organism in Eukaryota, Metazoa, Chordata, Mammalia, Carnivora, Felidae. The record is from RefSeq and is a predicted model, not a curated record. The transcript has 9 exons.
UCACUGUCGCCGUGAGCUUGUGUCACCGGUGAUGAGAGCGUGCCGUUCACCUGGCCCACAUCACGAUGGCGGGGCUGAAUUUGCUAAAGUUUCAAAGAGCCUUGAAGACGCUGAGUGUUGCUAUCGUAACUGCUACACAAAGUUCCCGGAGGAGCAUCAGCGAAGCCUCGACUCGGUUUCUUUCACUUUCAUUUCUGUUGUGGAAGACUCACCUUCCUACUCGUGUCCGUACAGCUACCUAAAACUUUAACCAGAAGGGCCCCGGGCGCACACCACGGGCCGAGGCCCGUGUGGCACUCUUGCGGGACUUCGGACUGCUGUCCGCUGUAUGUCCACACCCGGAGGGGCCUGGAGGGUCGCAGAGGGAACACAACCACCUGUUCUAAACUGCUUUGGUUUUCCGGGGAGUUAGGGUUGAGUUAAUAGGAUAGAGAAAGUUGGACCGAAAUUGGACAUGUGAUAGUGGAGGGAUAGCCCAAAAUCCCAAGCGGAAAACCCCUGCUCUGGAAUCUGUUCAGAAGACUUGGAGGCCCAGUGCUCACCUGUCCUGGGGAGGGCGACUGCACAGAGACUCCCCUGCUCACGGUUUGCGGUGUUUCCUUCCCUGGUAAAGCCCUAGGAGGGAGGCGUUCCCUCCUGCUUCCCUCGGUCGUUAGCGGCUGGAUGAACACCGAUCAAGGUGCUGAGGGUGUCUGCAGCCCCCCUCCCCCCAGUACAAGGGUCCCCGGGGGUCGUGGGGGACAGAACUUCCCUGCUGUAUGGCCAUCAAGUCACUUAUAAGCACCUCCUAAUUCCAGAGGCGGCUCCCUUGUUCAUUCAUACACUCACUCACUCAACAUGUGAUUGGUGAGUUGCCAGUCAGCCAGUGGGUAGUCCCCAGACCAUGUGAGGAGCCCUGGUCCUACCAGAGCUGGCAUUACGGCUGAGACACAGACCCUUUAGGACUGGUAAGAAAUUAAUGUCAUUAAUUAAUGACAAGUACAGCAACUUUCCAUAAAAGAGAAGGAUGGGGUAUUUUGAAAGCAUAAACCAGGGUAACAUGGCCUAGCGUGGGGUUGGGAAAUCUUCCUGGAGGCAAGCCGAACGUUAUGGGGAAGGAUAUGUGGUUCCAGGCAGAGGGGGCAGUUUGUGCAAAGGCCCUGAGGUCAUAAGGAAAACAUGUGCUCCAGAACCCACAGAGCUGCGAGUGAACCCGCCCAGACAGAAGGCAUGAGGCGAGGCUGGGGUGGAGCCAGGGGCAGGUAAGUAAGAGCCCUACCGUUCAGGGUAAAGAUUGUUCAUCCAACCAGCAAAGCUGUCAGGACGAGCUUUUAAAGCGGAGUCACGGGGUCAAACGCGUGUCCGGAGGGCCGCAGACACAGCGUAAGAGGAGUAAGGACACUGCAGAAGGGGCUUGGUGUAUUGCGGCUGCACAGGAGAACUGGGGCACCUUACACGGGUGAACUGGCCGGGGCUGUUCCAUGCCUGGAAGAGGACUGCGCUCGGGAGGGGACGCAGGAGGCGCGGGGGCGGGAGGCUUGUCCCCCUGCAGCUCUGUCCGAAAGUCGCGUUUCUUCCCCAGGGACACAGGCAGCCCUGGCCUCGUGCGCAGCCGGGCGACACCCAGGUCCCUGCGGGGAGUGAGUGUGCAAACUUGUCGUCCUCCACUGCCCUCCCACGCACGAGUUUGUUUGGGAUCGAAGCAGCUCAUCUCCCUGGGGUCAGAAAAGACCCCGUGCCCGACACUACGUCCCCCGCACCCAGGCUGCUGUGCCGGGCCCCCCUGCCUCCCUUCCCUCGGCUGCCUGGGGUGCCCCAAGACGCGGGGCCGCCACAGUGGGCCGCCUCCAGUCUCUGGGGGAGCGCGUGCGCGUGCACCGGGCCUGGGAGCGUGCGCGAGCGCGUGUGGGAGCGUGCGUGCACGUGCAUGGGAGCGUGGGCGUGUUGUGCGUGCACGCCCGUGGACGUGGGGGUCUCCAGCCUGCAGCUCUGCGGGGGCUCCCUGCUCACUGCACCGGCUGGUGGCGCCGGGGCUCGGGGACCGACCCCUGCGCUUGCUCGCACCCCUGCCCCGCGGAGCCUGGGCCGCGACUAGAUUCCUCUAGACUCGUUGCCGGGUCAGAGACGGGCUCUUUGACUUUGGUACUUUGUUUACGGGAUGUUUGUCCACCCGGAAGACUUUGGGUUGUUCCCGGUUCCAGCAUCAGAUGCGGCCAUCUUUUCGCCUGAACUUCUGGGAGGGAGGCGGCGUAAGAGCUCCCCGCUUCCGCUGGUGACCGUAACCCGCCUUUGUUUGCUGGUGUUUGGGCCGAUUUACACGCUCUUGGACUCAGCAAACACUUAGGGACCACAGCCAGGCCCUGCAGCUGGGGACCUGGUGGCGGAGUCCCUGCCCUCCAGGAGCCUGAGGUCUGUUCCGAGGACAAAAGGACAAAAUGAAGAUGUCAUCAGACGGGUGGAGACCCGUGCUAAGAGCCAAGGGAAACCCCGUAUCACAGAGAAGGGAGCGGGUGCUUUGACGUCUCAGCGGGGCGUCGAGCUGGCACUGGGGUUAGCGACCGCUGACCGCCGAGCACCCCUCCUCCCUGUGCAGCCCCCCACUCCUUCCCGGUCCCUUUGUCCCGAAGCUGACGUGCCUCUGCAGGGCCCCACCACGUCUGUGCUCCUCGGGGCCAGGGGUCCAGCUCUGGGGAACCUCCUCCUUGCCGCUUUGUGCUGGGAGUUUACUCGUGUCCCCUGGUUUCCCAAGCGGGGUGUGUGUGUGAUUCAGUGCUUUCCAGCAGGAUUACUUCCGUCCCCAUCCCCUCUACCCCACGGGCCUGCAUGUUCCUGAGGACGGGGAUGCAGCCAGGCAAGGUGGAUUUUCGGCAUCACAGAGGGUCCUGUGUCCAAACACCAUCACAUUCGGAGUCCUGGGGGGCUUCGACAUAGGAAUUUGGGGGACACAGCUGAGCCCACAGCCCCCGGGAGGCCGCCAUGGAGGAGAGGGCAGCAAAGUGACGUGAGACAAGCUGUAAUUUUAUCAUCCGUUAGCAGCAGUAUGUGACAGAUCCUAAGUCACUCCUCCAGAGGAACCAUACGGGAUCCGGGGGCUCGUAUGUAACCUUCUCGCCUUCAUCACGGGGGGAGACAUAGCCAUGAUCGCUGGGAGUCUGAAUGGCAGAUUUCGUGUGGAAAGUUCGCUUUAAUGAACGGUAGCAACAGCCUGCAGGGACAUUGGCUCCUUGUUGGAUCGUCCCGUACUCCAGCCCUUGUCAGACUUCUUCAUCUGAAUCUCUGUAUUUGCUCGGAAACCCACGAGGGCUCUCGGCGCUCGAGACCCCCAAACACUCAGCCUCGUGACGAAGCUUGUUCCGAGCGACCCUCGCGUCCGUGUGCAAGGUGGCGGGCAGGCGGCCGCGGGCUGGCCCUGCUCAAGGCACUGAGCCAGCGAGCGUCCCAGCAGCCUCCGCACCCAUCGCUGCCUUUACGUGAGCCGGGCUUCGGCCUUCGCUUCCUGAAGGUUCCUGGACACGCCCCCCGCAGCGGGAGCAUGAGCCGCAAAGCAAAACCAACGUUUCGGUUGAUUCAGUCUCCCCAGGCCACAUUACAGCUGGUUUACAUUUCUUGAUCAGAGAUCUCUAAUCUUGCCUUAGCACGGCCCUCGUGUGACUUCCCUCUUCCGCUGAAAUUUAAUUCCAUUGGGCAAAUAUGUGUAACCGUUCGCUGCUCACGCUGUGUCCUGAGACAAGCAAGGGAGUGGGAGAGGUGCCCUUCAGAAAGGCCCAGGUGCCGCCGGACAGGGCUUCCAGGCUGCCGGCGCGGGAAGAGGGAGGGCGCUGCCUCGGUCCGGUUUCGGGGCAACAGCAGCACUGGCGGGCUUUAUGCGUCUGGUCUGCCAUCACUCGCUGUUUGCAAACUGGGGACCAAGGAAGCUGCUGCCGCCGUCUGAAGGGGAGCCAGUGGUGUGGGCCCCGGCCCGGGGCCAGGUGAAGACCAGUGUCCCAGAUGCAGAAGUCGGGCAGAGAGUGAAUUCUCCUCUCCUCUGCCUUUUUUUCCGUCCGGGCCCUCGGAGCGCUGGACGAGGCCCACCCUCGUCAGAGAGGACAACCUGCUUCACUGACUCAAAUGCUAACCUCACCCAGAAACAGCCUCACAGACACAGCCUGAAUCAGGUUCGAGCAAAUACCCCGGGUGCCUGUGGCCCUGGUGGAUGUAAAAUUGACCGUCACAGGUGGACAGGCCCAGGUGGGUGUGGCCGGCUGGCCAUUUCCCUGAUCGCCCCUAGAGUGAUGUGGUCCUCACGGCCUUCCAGGAAGUGGGCUAAGAUCUGUCUGCGUGCUUUCCAGAGCGGUGAAUAAGGCUCUGUCUCCCAACCUCAUCCACGCCUCCCUCCGUCUGGACGUAUCCAUGGCGAGCGGGGCGAGCGGGUUGCGUAGGCCGAGCCUUGUCCCCAGUGACCACUGGGGAGCCGUGUGGCCGCACCUGCCUCUCGGCGCUUAGUGGGAAGAACAGAGCCAGUCCCAUACAAGGAGGACGUGUUGACCGAGGGGACAAAGGUGGAAUCGUUCCCCCAGGCCGGCUCGUGGUGUUAUCAGCUGGAGAACGCCGUCUCGCUUGAACAGAGCCCGCCACGGCCUCACAUAAUGAAGUGCAAACAGGAUUUUGAAAAAAGGGUGCACAGCCCACAAUUUUGUAAGGAGCUCUGGUUGGACUUCCUGCCUACACUGAGUUUAAUCGGUGGGCCGUCCACGUCAGGCAUUUUCACGCAAUGUCUACCCUUCGGCAAGGUUCCCACAGAGCACAGAAAGUGGAAAGAACCUCUUCCCAUCUGCUGGGUGGCCACACAUUAGGCACGGUGCUAACACCCAGCGAGAACCCGCAUUUCACGUUCUUCUGCAGCGCUUUCUACGGUCAAAGCCUUCUCCUGCCUCCGAGAUCUUCUUGUCAUGUUCUGAGUCCUCCCUGAAGAAUGUGAAGUCGUAGGACGCCUGUCUGCUGGCUUUCAUUGGUGCUUGGUGCAUAGAAACUGUUUCUCUACCCGUCACGUGUGUGUGGGGUCCCAGACCACCCCGGCGAGACCCGCGGUAAUGAGGACUGGUUUCUGCUCUGCCUGCGACAGCGAGCUCAGCUCCUGGGAGCCCCACGACCCUUCUCCAUGUGAAGAGUGGGUGAUCACGGGUGAGCCUCGGAGCCCGUCUGUUCUGAGGCACUGGGACCCGGAAAGCAUUCGGCAAAUAAGAACCGUGUUUACUGAAGUCCCAGGAGGCACCGGGCUACAUCCACAGCUGGAAACAAAACCAACUGGCCACCGCCCUCACUUUGGACUCGCGACAACCAGGCGGUGCUUGAAGGGACAGUGAUGACUGGAUCUCACUUCAGUGACCACACGGGACCCAGGUAAGGACAUUGACCCAAGACACCAACAAGAUGCAAAGUCUACGCAUCGGUGAAGAGACUAGAACUGUCUCUCUGUUGCUGCACCACACGGUAUAGGGUGCGUCCUGUGUCACAUGGACACUGCUGAGCAGGCGUCACCCAGAAAAGCAGGUGGACAGGGGCUCUGGGCAAAUUAAAUACUCACGGAGGAUUUCAGCGGAGGAGGGAGAAGGGAAAGAACUUGUGACUGGAGUAAGGUGAAGGAAGGCUGGGGCACAAAGGACACGGGAAAGAGGUGCGGGCACAGCCCAGGGGCUCUGGAGGCUCAUCUGGAACUUUAGAUGUCUUUCUUGAUGAGAAAGAAAAACUCUGAAAUAUUUUCAGUACAGGAGUUGUGUGGCCAGACGUGUGGCUUCCAAAGACCACCCUGGGUGCUGUGCGAGAAGGGACUGGAGAAGGCUGGGCGUGGGGACCGAGAGCCAGGGUCCGCCAGGGGGUGGCUCCAUUCGUUCACGGGAAGACUAAGGCUGAGCCCCAGGUGGGGCCGGAGAUGAAGGACAGUGGACAUGCUCGGUACAGGCACGUCGCUGAGGAGCUGCACGGGCAGGACGUGGCAGGGGGUGCUGUGCUGAGAUGCCUUCCUGGACACCGGUUCCCAUGAUGAAGGCUGUGCUGUCGGGGGCACCUGCUUCCAAGAUGGGGAACAGGGCAAGAGGCAGACUGGGGGAGAAAACUGUCCGCUUCCUUGCCUCACUCUUCUGGAAGCCUGUGUUGAAGGCAGGAAGACAUGAGCAGCAUAUCCACAAUACGCUGGACCACACCCUUCGAGCUCCUGUGUUCGCGCACACCUCUCCAGGGGCUGAUGCCCUGAAUCUUGGACCACGUGGUCAAGAUGCAAUCGUGCUGUGGCUUGGGAAGGAGGCAGAUCUGUAGGUCCCAUGGUGCCCUUAUCGUGAGAGUAGUCUGGACACUGGUCACAAAGACCUCGAGCCUCCUCUUGUGGGUGUCACAUGUCCUAGCCAAUUGGACGUUGGGUGUGGCAUGGGGAUGGUCAGGUGGGGUGGAGGGAGGGAGGGGAAAAGAGUGACGUCAGGAUGAGAUGAGAGAGGUCAGGGGCACGUGGGGUACCCGAAAGGGAACACGGGGAGAAUCGGUAUCGUUGUUCCCAUGUUGAGACUAACACUGUGUCUCACCGGCAAUGAGAAAGAUCAAAAGAAAACACCCUCCCCACCUUCAAAUUGCUUGUGAGGCCGACUCCGUGCAAGUGACAGGGGGUGUUUUGCAGCUGCUGCGAGAGGGACACCAGGGCCGUCAGCAGCCGGAGCUGGAGAGGGUUCUGCAGAAGGGGACGAUGUUUCAUCCUUCUGGACCCAUCAGUUUCCAGGCGGGAACAGCCCUCCAACUGUGGGCACAAGAGUACUUCGUGCUUCCAGAUACUGAAAAGAAAAAUCUAACAUCAUUUAAGUGGGGGUUAUAGAUUGACAUUUUCUUUAUAAAGCCGACUUCUAGACGGCUUCAGAGUAGCUCUUCCGGUUUUGAAACAGGCCAGCUAUAUUCAUUACAUUGACUCUCUUUCAGAUCUUGAUGCUUGGAGAAUAAUUCCUCAUUGGUAUUUAUUUUGCUCUAAAUUAGCUAUUUGCUUAUUGACCCAAAAUAGUUAUCAUCUCAGCUGGAAAUAUAUUGGAACUCUGGUUGCCAAACAAAUAUUCAGCAAAAGAUGGAGAAAAGCAUAUGGGGAGGAAAACCCCACCAAGUCUGGGCUGCUGGUGCUCUGGAAGGCGCUCUGGCGGGCCGCCAUGUGCCCCGCUGCACGCAGGCACCGGGGUGACAGUGAUCGAUUCGGCAGUGGGGAGGUGUUAAUGAUAUUCAGCGCUGAUGGCUGAGAUAUUUAUCAUCUCUGCAUUUAUCAUUAUAAAGAGGACGCCAGAGCUAAUUAAAGUCUGGGCUAACAGGGUGACCGGGGAGUCUGGGGGGCACCGACGCCCAGAAAGACCUGGGAAAGCUUCCAGCAGGAAGGACACCAACCUUACAGCAAAGCCAAUUAACUUAAUUCUUCGGGAAAGCGUGUGUGGCACUUUCAUUUGGCUAAACUGGAGGACGGGUUUCAAGCACGUCUCCUAUUUUGUGCCGAAACCGCAGGCUUGCUAACAGACAGUGACUGCUGUGUUCCCUCACUCUGCUCCCAGCCCUACCCAACCCCAUCUCAGAAAAUCCUUACGCUUGGGGCGCCUGGGGGGCUCAGCCGGUUAAGGGUCCGACUUCGGCUCACGUCGCGAUCUCACGGUGCGUGGGUUCGAGCCCCGCGUCGGGCUCUGUGCUGACAGCUCAGAGCCUGGAGCCU